This 384-nucleotide unclassified non-coding RNA is filed under the name uncultured bacterium. Its description in RNAcentral is "contains 16S-23S intergenic spacer region". The record is from RNAcentral.
UCCUAGUUUCCUAGGCAGUCCCACCAGAGUGCUCCCUUGCGGGUUAGCAACUGGCGGCAAGAGUUGCGCUCGUUAAAGGACUUAACCCAACAUCUCACGACACGAGCUGACGACAGCCAUGCAGCACCUGUGUAUCUGUUCAAGCUUUCGCCUGAAAAACUCUAUUUCUAGAGCGGUCAAAUACAUGUCAAGUCUAGGUAAGGUUCCUCGCGUAGUGUCGAAUUAAACCACAUGUUCCACCGCUUGUGCGGACCCCCGUCAAUUCCUUUGAGUUUUAAUCUUGCGACCGUACUCCCCAGGCGGAUCACUUAACGCGUUAGCUACGACACCGAUCUUGCUAAGCAAAAUCGACGACUAGUGAUCAUCGUUUACGGCGUGGACUAC